RNAcentral lists this ribosomal RNA (30 nucleotides) under Calostoma cinnabarinum. RNAcentral describes it as "partial 25S ribosomal RNA". The record is from RNAcentral. Lineage: Eukaryota; Fungi; Basidiomycota; Agaricomycetes; Boletales; Calostomataceae.
UCGACCUCAAAUCAGGUAGGACUACCCAAU